Molecule: long non-coding RNA, 5114 nt
Organism: Cyanistes caeruleus (blue tit)
Lineage: Eukaryota; Metazoa; Chordata; Aves; Passeriformes; Paridae
Source: RefSeq, a predicted model, not a curated record
GCUGCAGCUCGCAGCGAUCCCGCCGCUCGGCAGGCAGCCCCAGCAGCGCUAGCUUUACAUCUGAUGCCGCUGUGGCUCCAGCUAACUCAUUACUGAUAAAACUGGGUUCUCGGCUUUAAAUUACUUAGAAAGUUCUUCCCGACUUGGAAAGUCUGAUCGCUGAGGUGUGAGGGUCAAGGAGUUCCUCGCAGCGUGUUGUGCUCUUUUCUGUAGAUGAGUAGGACUACAGGACUACACAGGAUAAAGAAUUCAACUAAUAAAGAUAAUUUCUUGAUAGGGCUUUUCUUUGAAGCCCCCUCGAUGUGAUAAAGGUAAAAAAACCAAGCCUCGUGCUGCAAACAACAGCUGGCUGCAUUUACCCUUACUCUGCCAAUGAUUUAUUUAAUCAGUGGCAAAAUCUCACCAUGCUGAGAGAGGCAGGGCCCAGCUCCUUGGCGCAGAGCAGCACCCUGUCAGGCUGUUUUUAAAACCCACGUAACAAGAUCGCUUGGAAGGGAGGCUUUAAAACCCAGCUGGCAGCUGAGUAAUGUUAAUUGCUGUCAAGUCUGCCACACAGUUACUGAGGUUUGUAACUUAAACUCAGGGGAGGGGUUAGAUUGCAAACCGAUGGCUAGCAAGGUGAGGCGAAUUACUACGGUUUCCCCGUAUCACAUUGUUCUGGGCAGGCUCACAGAGCCUCUCCAGUUAAAUGUUUCAGAGUCACUGUGAUUUUGAGUGAAGUAUUUACAGUUGCCAUUAAUAGAUUAACAGGCUAAUAAUAUUCAUUGUCUCCAAGAACCCAUUUCUUUGUGGUUCUUGUCCAAGUGUUCAUUUCAACUCUUUUAUUUGCCAGAAGACUUGAGUCUUUGCUUGUUUACGAGAAGAUCAGAUCAUGUUUGACUUGUACCUCACCACCAAGUAAGAAAGAAAAAACACUCAUUUUAAGUAAGGGACAAGGUUCCUUAAUUAAUUAAACCUCAUUGUUCACUUUUGAUAGUCAGGGGAAUUGUGAGCAGUAGGAGAUUGAUAUUGAAAAAAAGAGAAAAAGGCAAUAAAAGGCAUUCUAUAUCUUUGAGAUAGUCAAAUUUUAUCACACCGAUGGUCAGGGCUUGGCAAAACGCCAGCUGCUGGAGGGCUACUUCUAAUUUGAAUGUGCAUCACUAUAAAUAAAAAAUGAAUGUGCUAUGAUUCCAACCACUUAUGUCUUCCAGACUGAGUAAUAACUGCCUGCUGGUUAGGCUCAUUAACAGUAAGAACAGUACCUGAUCGGCUUUGUUUUCAUCUCAUUGAGCUGCCGUUGGGGCCACACUUUAUAUCCCCAGAGGCUGCAUUUUGGGAACUCCUACUGUGUAGAAAAUGUAUGGAAACUGAAAUCUAUGUAUAUAAUCAGGCUGGAUGGUAAGAGGGCUCAGGAAGGAUAUUUGUGCCUUUCAGUGAUUAAAAAAAAAGAUAUGGCAGCAUUUCUAAGAGAGGGGACUCAGAGGGAUUCCUUGAGGAAAUUAGACAUUGUUAAGAAAUGGCUCCGAGUAAAUAGACCGAAACCAAGACAGAGACAGCGAGUCUGAAAUGGAAAAUUGUGAACCAGGGGCAAGAUAUACCACCAACCUCACUGCACUCAGCUGAGAGAGUUUCUACAAUAGUAUGGAGACAAGCUUCUUACCUGGGAACAGGAGCCCAAGGGACGGAUUCUCUGCCAGAGAGUUUUUGCUCAUUAGUGUACAUGGUGACAUUUUGAUUCAAGAGAUUAAUCUUAAAUCACGUGCAGUAGUGUCCCUGUGACAUCUGCGGAUGGAAAUACCGUGCCAUCCUAUAACCCUUCUGUCAGCCUGCUUUACUGCUCAAAAGAAUUGCUCCUUUUAUUUAGUUUCCCCCCCCCCCCUACAUAUUCCUCACAGGUCUUCACAACUAUUUCUUAUUUUACUGACAAAAUGCUAUUGUCAGCAUUGUGCUGUAAUUGCAGAGUACAUUGUGAUCUUAGGCACGGGCCUUGCAAGCUGCUCUGCCUGGGUGGGCUCCAAAACCCACACAGGGCCAACUUGACUUUGGUGGGGGUAGUCUUGUCUGAUGAGCUCAGUUUUCUUUUCUGUUUUUCUAUUUUUGUAGCUCUCGUGGUUGAAAUAGGGAAAUUAAGGGUAGUCUCAUGGAUCAUAAAGCAAAGGAUGAACAAGAAAAACAUUCGGGGUUGAUUCUAUUUAUUUUGUUAUCUUAAAAACAUUUGGUCAAUGGGAUGAUUUUUCAGGGGGCUCAAUCUGAGUGCAAAGGAGUGGAAAACAGUGUCUUCUGCCCUGACACAUAUCAGCGGCUUCACUAAAUGCGUUCUGCCACACUUUAUUGUUGUGUGAGGCAGAAAAAAGUCUUGAAUUUCAUGUCUGACCAUCCCUGUAUAUUUCUCACAUAAGUCAGAUUCUUGGGGAAAGCUGGCCUGUGUCCUGAUAGAAGGACACUGUGUUCAGCACCCAGUCCUGGUAGGAGAAAGUGCUGCACAUUUCUAUCGGUGUGUUUGAGAAUAAGAUCACUUGCUGACUAUAAAUAAAAGUGAGAGGAUAUUGCUGUUGGGGUUUUCUUCUGAAGGGAGCAAAUUUUAAGGCAGUCUUCCAGGGUUACUCCUUCUUGCUUUUCUGAAACCAAAACUGAAGCACAUUUUCUCCACAGAUAAUCCAGUCACUGGAUUGGGAAAAUGCUUCACCCUCUCUUGGGGUGCUCUGCUUCACUCCUACUGCAAACACUGAAGACAGGAGUUUGCAUUUUCCAUACAGCCUUUCUACAACCAGCCCUGCAAAUUCAGCCAUGUCUUAGAGACAAUGGGCUGAGGGAAACAGUGACAACCAGGCUUAAGGAGUCUGCAUUUCUGUGUUACUGAACAUGCUCUUAUAUGCUGGGGUCAGCCUGAGUUUCUUUUCCUUUUCCAUCUCCUUCUCCUCCCUCUCCCUUUCCCUCUCCCUCUCCCUCUCCUCUCCCUCUCCUCUCCUCCUGCUAUACAAUUUCAUCUUCUCUAAGCAUUUGUCCAAUUCCACAGAGAUUUUGCACAGAAUAGCAUUUCUACUGCCUGCUAAUGAUGUAGGGGGAUUUUCCCAAUAUUUCUCUUCCCUUUUUUUGAAAAAGAGACCAAACAACAGCAUUUACUCACAUCUCUGGAUUUCUUCCUUUGCCCAUGUUUUUCCUCCUAAUUCUGUAUUCCUGUGCACUGUCUCCCGCUUUUUCCCAUCUCAUUCUUAGGAGUUUUCUUCUUCUUCACCCUCUUUCUUUCUUGGAUUCUGGACUAACUCCUGCAGCAUAAACUUCCUCAGAUGUUUGACUCCACUAUUGGGAUUUCAUAAGGUCUGUAUUAAAAGAAAAUCUGUAUCUGAUCUUUACAGAGUUACAGCCUCAUUCUUUAAAGUCCUGAUCCACUCCUUGCAAAGACAAACAGACUUCAGAGGUUCUACUCACAGGUCAUCAAACAGAAAAGUCCUUGCAGUAUCAGGACCUAACAAAGUACAUUGUGCAUGAUCCUCAUACAGAUAUUGUUGUUCUGUAGAUGUAUUAUCAUCAUGCAGAAGAAGAACAUCACAUUUACAUGUGUCAAAAAUGCCAGAGACUGCAUGUUGUACUAUGUUGACCUUUGGCUAGAAACAGCAGAGAAUUCAUUUGUUUUGGUAAAUGCUCAGUGUUAUUUCUUGAGGUUUGACCUCAAAAUCAUUCAUAUAUGAGUAGAAAAUGGUGGAAAGUAGCACUCAGCUAUCCUGAAUGUGAAGGCAAAGCAGAGAAAUUUGACCCCUAGUGCUGACUGUUUAUGUUGCAAUACAGGACCAUUCAGAGUGUUCAGCACACUGGAGCAUUAAGUCCCAGGUGCAAUAAAAUUAAACUGAAGCUAGAAAGUAAAAGUGAUAAUAAAAUCAGAAUUGUCUAAUUCUGUCAAUAGUUCAAGAGGAAGAUAUAGGGCUAGAACCUGCUGAAUACAUCACAUUGUUACCUAUUUAAAUAUGUGAAAAGAAAGAUAAACAUUAAAAAUAUAGAACAGAAUAUUUUUUUUCUCCAAUUGCAAAUUUGCCUAUCAUAAGGGGCUUACAAGACAUUGAAUAUUCAGUCAGCUCAGAAUACCUUUGACAAAAGUCUCUGCCUUGAGGACAUUGUUGUUUACAAAUUCAGACCCUCCAUUUUCAUAUGUAAAUCUACAGUGUUCCCUGUUUCACCACCUCGAGAAUAUUCUUGAAGUAAUUUUUGAUCUUUGUCCUUCCUGUCUUCAGUUAAUGACAUUAAUAUGCUCUCCUUGUGUUAGAAACCUUUUUUUUAUAAAACACAAAAGUUUAAGUCUGCUAUGUAGGCAAAAAGAUGCCACUUUCUGUAGAAAAAAAAUCCUUUUGCUGCCUAGAGUUUUCAUUUUCACUACAUUCAUUGUGAAUGCAGUAUAUUUUAAUGCAUACUUAUGAGGACUAAAAUAAAACUGAGGACCUUAUUCUUCUUCCAGUGAAUCCAGUGGCAAAUCACCUCCAAAUGCCAGAACAACUAGAACGGAUUUUACAGUUUGGGUGGGGAAAAAACAAACAAGUUCCUGACAAAUCUCAAAGCCUGGAAAACAAGUCUGAAGAUAAUCUGGCAAACAAGAUGCUUUACAAUUUUCCUGAAGGAAUGUUUGCAACUAACGAUUCACCAGUUCAUCACAGUCUCUCUAAUGCUCGUGAAAACUCAUUUCCCACCCCAGCCUGGGGAGUUGCAUCAGGCUCUUUUGGGAAGAGGGUUUUCUUUGGGUAUUAAUUGUGAGUGUGCAGCUCAGCACUCCUGGUGGGCAGCAAUUCUGAAGAGGAAACACAGCAUUUUCUGUGAUAUGUAAAAAGCAGCACAGCUCACCUUUUCUCCUCUCUGCAGCGGAGUGCAGCUGUCCCGAUACCAAGAUCACAGCAAAGCUUUAUCUGGAAAAGGUCCCUCUGUUUGGCUCCUUUUUAACUCUCCCCUUUUUAUCGGCUGGUGUUUCCAAGAACAGAGUUGAAAGGCUGAGACAGAUUUUCAUUUUUAAUAACUGAGCUUCAGGUUCCCUGAGAAAAAAAUGUUCUCCACUGGAGACAAGAAGGUCCUGUGUCACCCAAAUUCUUUACUUAUUAAAGAGAUAGAUGAGAUCCUCUUACAAAACUACAGUAAAGUAUCUCCUUAAAUCUGGA